RNAcentral lists this ribosomal RNA (465 nucleotides) under uncultured bacterium. RNAcentral's name for it is "partial 16S ribosomal RNA". It matches the Rfam family "Bacterial small subunit ribosomal RNA", at positions 28 to 507 of the family's 1533-position model. The record is from RNAcentral.
GACGAACGCUGGCGGCGUGCUUAACACAUGCAAGUCGAACGGAAAGGCCCUGCUUGCAGGGUACUCGAGUGGCGAACGGGUGAGUAACACGUGGGUGAUCUGCCCUGCACUUCGGGAUAAGCCUGGGAAACUGGGUCUAAUACCGGAUAGGAGCCAUUUUGAGUGUGAUGGUUGGAAAGUUUUUUCGGUGUAGGAUGAGCUCGCGGCCUAUCAGCUUGUUGGUGGGGUAAUGGCCUACCAAGGCGGCGACGGGUAGCCGGCCUGAGAGGGUGGACGGCCACAUUGGGACUGAGAUACGGCCCAGACUCCUACGGGAGGCAGCAGUGGGGAAUAUUGCACAAUGGGCGCAAGCCUGAUGCAGCGACGCCGCGGGGGGGAUGACGGCCUUCGGGUUGUAAACUCCUUUCGCUAGGGACGAAGCUUUUUGUGACGGUACCUAGAUAAGAAGCACCGGCUAACUACGUG